This 678-nucleotide unclassified non-coding RNA is filed under the name Hevea brasiliensis (rubber tree). Lineage: Eukaryota; Viridiplantae; Streptophyta; Magnoliopsida; Malpighiales; Euphorbiaceae. The record is from RNAcentral.
AGAACAUACACCAAUAAGGGCAUCAUAUGCUGUCUUUCUACCUUCUUCUGUGGAAUCUUUUAAUGCGAGAAUAAUCUCAUUCAGAAUGAGAAAGGCCUGGGUGUUUUCCUCGUCAUUACCCUGUAAUGCAUCAAUCAACAAGGUUUUGUAAAAGGCAAAGCGACUUGUAAGUGUUUUUGUAUCAGUUGGAGGCUUCACCCUAGCUAACAAAUCCAUCAGCUGCUCAGCAUGUGAAGAGUGAAACCAGGAAUGUUGCUCUAAUAUUCUACUUAGAAUGUGAUAUGCUUCAAGAUGACCAGCUCCAUGAGUAGUCUCCAAAACAUCCCUAGCAAUACCAAAGAGGACUUUAAUGAGAUCCUCGCCAGAUCCUUCAACGAAGCACGAUCCCAACUCCAAGAUAAUGCACCUCUUAGCUACUUCCCCAAGAAGAGUGGAGUUAUUCUCUUUAUUGUCUGUUAAAUGAAGUCCAAGCUUCUGGUAUUCACCAAUUUCAUUUGUAAUCCCAGCUCUCUCCAUUGAAGAAGUAAAAAUCCUUUGGGUUAACGAAGAAUCUGUGAUGGACGUCAAGCACCUUAUUGCCUCCUUGAACUGCUGGUAAUUUGCAGGAGAUGCCUUAAAAAAGACAUUAAUUAGAGCCCGGAGCCAAUCCUCAGAGCAAGAUGACAAAGCCUUAAUAUU